RNAcentral lists this ribosomal RNA (98 nucleotides) under synthetic construct. The record is from RNAcentral.
GGUCCCACCUGACCCCAUGCCGAACUCAGAAGUGAAACGCCGUAGCGCCGAUGGUAGUGUGGGGUCUCCCCAUGCGAGAGUAGGGAACUGCCAGGCAU